Molecule: ribosomal RNA, 265 nt
Filed under: uncultured Spirochaeta sp.
Lineage: Bacteria; Pseudomonadati; Spirochaetota; Spirochaetia; Spirochaetales; Spirochaetaceae
Description: partial 16S ribosomal RNA
Rfam family: Bacterial small subunit ribosomal RNA
Source: RNAcentral
CCAGCGAUUUAAGGUGGGGACGUCAGAUGAGACUGCCGGUGACAAACCGGAGGAAGUGGGGACGACGUCAAGUCAUCAUGGCCCUACUGUCCUGGGCUACACACGUGCUACAAUGGCCGGUACAGAGUGAAGCGAAACCGCGAGGUGAAGCAAAACGCAGAAAGCCGGUCUCAGUACGGAUUGGAGUCUGAAACUCGACUUCAUGAAGUUGGAAUCGCUAGUAAUCGCGCAUCAGCAUGGCGCGGUGAAUACGUUCCCGGGCCUU